Molecule: ribosomal RNA, 1094 nt
Filed under: Schistocerca lineata (birdwing grasshopper)
Lineage: Eukaryota; Metazoa; Arthropoda; Insecta; Orthoptera; Acrididae
Description: partial 16S ribosomal RNA
Rfam family: Bacterial large subunit ribosomal RNA (bases 588-824)
Source: RNAcentral
AUUUAUUUUAUUAUAUUUAUUUUUUGUUUAUUUAAUUAUUUAAUAAAAAUAAUUUUAUUGAAUUUUGUCUUAGUAUAUUUUGUAGAAUUGAUUUUUUAAAUUAUAGUUUAUUGGUAAUGUAAUUGUUUUAUGAAAUAUUAUUUUAAAUUUUUAAAAGUAUAUUUUAUUUAUUGUACCUUUUGUAUCAGGGUUUAUCAAAAUUUUAGUAUUUAAUUUACUUGUCUCGAAUUKGGGUKGAUUUAWAAAWAAUUUAUAGUUAAKGUAYCAWAAUUAUWAUWAAAUUAUUUAKGGAAAUGAAAKGUUAAUCGUUYCCCAAGAUAUCUAGUUUCUUAAGAAAAAUUUUAAUUUUUUAAAGUUAAUUGUUUUUAUUUAAUUUUUUAAUUAUAAAUAUUAACUUAUUUAUUCUUUAAGGGAUAAGCUUUGAAGUUAAUAACCUAUAAUUUGUUUUAUAAAAUAUAAUAGUAAGCUUUAAACCAGCUAUCUUUAAGAUUACGUUUUAGUUCAUUAUUUUCUAUUUUGAUUUUAUAAUUAUUUUAGGUUUUUUAUUARGAUUAUUUAUUUAAUUUUAAAAUUUUUGUAAUAAUGAUAGAAUUAGUAUAUUUACUUGUAUAUAAUUUUUACCUUGUGAAUUUAUAAUAAGGAACUAGGCAAAAUUGAUUUCCGCCUGUUUAUCAAAAACAUGUCCUCUUGAAAAUACUUUGAGGUCUGGCCUGCUCACUGAGCGGAUUUUUAAAGAGCCGCGGUAUUUUGACCGUGCAAAGGUAGCAUAAUCAUUAGUCUCUUAAUUAGUGGCUGGAAUGAAUGGCUUGACGAGAAAUCAACUGUCUCUUAAUAAAUUUUUGAAUUUAACUUUUGAGUCAAAAGGCUUAAAUUUUUCUUUAGGACGAGAAGACCCUAUAGAGCUUAACAUUUUACUUUUAUAUAGUUUUUUGUUUGUCUUUCUAUAUUUAAUGAUGAUGUUUUGUUGGGGUGACAUGAAGAAUAAAUAAACUCUUCAUUAUUAUAUCAUUUAUUUAUGUUUGUUGUUUUGAUCCAUAAUUUAUGAUCAUARGAUUAAGUUACCUUAGGGAUAACAGSGUAAUUGUUUUUGAGAG